AGCGAACGCUGGCGGCAGGCUUAACACAUGCAAGUCGAACGCCCCGCAAGGGGAGUGGCAGACGGGUGAGUAACACGUGGGAACGUACCCUUUGGUUCGGAAUAACUUGGGGAAACUCAAGCUAAUACCGGAUAAGCCCUUAUGGGGAAAGGUUUACUGCCGAAGGAUCGGCCCGCGUCUGAUUAGCUGGUUGGUGAGGUAAUGGCUCACCAAGGCGACGAUCAGUAGCUGGUCUGAGAGGAUGAUCAGCCACACUGGGACUGAGACACGGCCCAGACUCCUACGGGAGGCAGCAGUGGGGAAUAUGGGACAAGGGGGGCAACCCUGAUCCAGCCAUGCCGCGUGAGUGAUGAAGGCCUUAGGGUCGUAAAGCUCUUUUACCCGGGACGAUGACGACUGUACCGGGAGAAUAAGCCCCGGCUAACUUCGUGCCAGCCGCCGCAGUAA
This 447-nucleotide ribosomal RNA is filed under the name uncultured bacterium. Its description in RNAcentral is "partial 16S ribosomal RNA". It matches the Rfam family "Bacterial small subunit ribosomal RNA", at positions 29 to 523 of the family's 1533-position model. The record is from RNAcentral.